CAUUGCACUUCGUUUUUCGUCAACAAUGUGAAUAUUUUUAGGUGUUACCCGCGACAAUUCUUGAUGGAUGGGCUCUUCUGCCCUGCGGGUUUUCGUCAUCUUUACUUUUAUACGAGGGUUCUGCUUGUGUUCAGCACUACCGCGCUCCACGACUUCCGCAACACAAGUCAGAACUUUGUCCUGCUUGUUAGUCUUUGUGGUUAACGUAGCACGAACCAACCGAAGUGAGUGCAUUCGAAGACGACGAGCUGGCUGUAAUGCUGAACUAGACUGAACUCGCCCUAUUUUGUGUCCUUUCGUUCUUGCAUGGAUUAUAGCGUUGCGAGCGCGCGCACGUGUGUCAGUGACUAUGCAGCUUGUAGCGUUCCCACUUUAUGGCACAAGAAAAAUAUAACUGCAAUGUUUACUUCAUGUAUACAAUUCCAAAUGCAAUCGUCUGCUGAUGUACAAAUUUCACUUGUGUUUUGUCCUAAAUAAGCAGCAAAACGUUUAGCCUAGUAGGUGCUUCAUCUGGGAGUGCAAUCACGACUGCUUGGCAUUUAUUAAUGAAUGAUUUUGACUGGGUCACCUCAUUUGUAAUUGCAGAUCUGUCUUUCAACUGACUUGAUGCUCUCUUAUUUUGUUCCUUUCACUCCAUAGACGGCUGGACAUCCUUCUUGUACCUUGGCGCUAGCUGGAAGAGGGGACCUCAUCAUGAUCAGUAUAGGCCAAUGUAUUGCUUGCCUGUGUCUACAAGAACCUUCACGCGUGGCCUGUGACAGCAAGCUUUUGUGAGCAGCCAGUGCAGCUCUACGAAGGCUGGCCUGCUCUGGCAGCGGCGGCAAUCAUCUUCAAGAUUUAUCUGUGCUCACCUUUGCUGCUAUUUGUCACUCUCGUUAAUCACACUUUCUGCAUCUUUUCUAAUUUAUUAGAUAAUAAAGUAUGACUAUGUGA
Dermacentor andersoni is the source of this 933-nucleotide long non-coding RNA. RefSeq lists it as uncharacterized. The record is from RefSeq and is a predicted model, not a curated record. Lineage: Eukaryota; Metazoa; Arthropoda; Arachnida; Ixodida; Ixodidae.